This 575-nucleotide long non-coding RNA is filed under the name Pan troglodytes (chimpanzee). Its description in RNAcentral is "lincRNA". The record is from RNAcentral. Lineage: Eukaryota; Metazoa; Chordata; Mammalia; Primates; Hominidae.
GCAUGACCUCUGCUAAAAAAAGUCGGAUGAAUCCUAAGGAAGUUAAUAGCUGAAGGCUGCAGCUACUAGAUUCCAGAGAGUGGCCUGGGCCACAAGAUACUCAACCAGAGCAGACAGUGUCAGCCUCUGUCAUGGAAAGCACAGAGCUUCCUAUCCUACAUGAUUGUCUAUUGUAAUGCCAAAUUACAAGCAAUGGAGUCUCACUCUGUUGCCCAGGCUGGAGUGCUGUGGCAUGAUCUCAGCUCACUGCCUUCUCUGCCUCUUGAGUUCAAGCGAUUCUCCUGCCUCAGCUUCCCAAGUAGCUGGGAUUACAGGCGCACGCCACCACGCCCCGCUAGUUUUUGUAUUUUCAGUAGAGACGGGGUUUCACCAUGUUGGCCAGACUGGUCUGUAACUCCAGACCUCAGGUGAUCUGCCCACCUUGGCCUCCCAAAGUGCUGGGAUUACAGGCCUGAGCCACCAUGCCCAGCCAAUUUCCAUAUAUUUUUUAAACUGGGAUUUCAGAGAGUAAUUUCCUCUUCAUGUGUAACCAGUUAUAUGAAUUAAAACAGAUUUAGCCUUCUUUUACGGUUGUG